AGAGUUUGAUCAUGGCUCAGAAUAAACGCUGGCGGCAUGCCUAACACAUGCAAGUUGAGCGAGAAAGUUCCUUCGGGAACGAGUAAAGCAGCGAACGGGUGAGUAACACGUGAGAAUUUCCCCUUUAGUGAAGGAUAUCUUCGAGAAAUCGAAGUUAAUACUGCAUACGUCCCUUCGGGGAGAAAGACGGCCUCUUUGCUGUCGCUAAAGGAUAAGCUCGCGCACUAUUAGCUAGUUGGUGGGGUAAAGGCCUACCAAGGCAGAGAUGGUUAGCCGGCCUGAGAGGGUGUACGGCCACACUGGGACUGAGAUACGGCCCAGACUCCUACGGGAGGCAGCAGUGGGGGAUCUUGCACAAUGGACGAAAGUCUGAUGCAGCGAUGCCGCGUGGAGGAAGAAGGUCUUCGGAUUGUAAACUCCUGUUAAGUGGGAAGAAACCUUUGCGAGUAAUAUGCGCAAAGUCUGACGGUACCACUAGAGAAAGCUCCGGCUAACUUCGUGCCAGCAGCCGCGGUAAUACGAAGGGAGCAAGCGUUAUUCGGAAUCACUGGGCGUAAAGGGCGUGUAGGCGGUUAAUUAAGUCAGUUGUUAAAUUCCCCAGCCUAACUGGGGCCAAGCAAUUGAAACUGAUUGGCUAGAGUACAGAAGAGAGAAGUGGAAUUAUCGGAGUAGCGGUAAAAUGCGUAGAUCUCGAUAGGAACACCGAUGGCGAAGGCAGCUUCUUGGUCUGUUACUGACGCUAAAAUGCGAAAGCGUGGGGAGCAAACAGGAUUAGAUACCCUAGUAGUCC
Molecule: ribosomal RNA, 790 nt
Filed under: uncultured bacterium
Lineage: Bacteria
Description: bacterial SSU rRNA
Rfam family: Bacterial small subunit ribosomal RNA
Source: RNAcentral